GGCCUGGUAGCACAAGUGGAUAGUGCAUCUACGUCAACUUUGAAGCAACUCUAGGUAAAGCUUGCACAGAUGACCUCUGUUCGAAUCAGAGCUAGGCCG
Non-coding RNA from Mycena metata, 99 nucleotides. Lineage: Eukaryota; Fungi; Basidiomycota; Agaricomycetes; Agaricales; Mycenaceae. The record is from the annotation of a GenBank genome assembly.